Physcomitrium patens is the source of this 2358-nucleotide non-coding RNA. The record is from RefSeq and is a predicted model, not a curated record. NCBI's taxonomy places the organism in Eukaryota, Viridiplantae, Streptophyta, Bryopsida, Funariales, Funariaceae.
AAAGGUGAGCCAUCAGUUGCAAGGAUGCGUUUGAAGAGAACAGAAUUUCUCCCCCCGAGACUCGAAAUCCGACAUUACGAAGAUUCAGUGUGAGUUGCAAGGUUCGUUUUUCUGUGUCGAGGUGAGAAUCGUAUCCGUCUGCCAAUCGGAUAGAUUAUUGAGAUCAAUUUCAAGGACCGGCGCUUGGACCGUAGCGAGAUCCAGUACGCUCCUCAAUUCGAUCUACAGAGUAUGGCAUCAUUCGUUUGCAUGAAAUGGGCACUAAUAAAUUGUUCCUCAGUACCCACAAGUGGCGAAGAGUUUUUUAAAAAGGCGUGUGUAUCAGAUCGCCCAGAAUCGCGACCCACAUCCUCCCAAGGGAACCACAAAUGGAACCUGACAGCACGAGACAUGGCAAGUCCACUGGGAAAGAUUGUGGCCCACCUUUUUCGCGGCUUGCCAUAUAUGGCCGUGAAUCCUCUGACGAAUCCAAACAUUCUUCGUCCCUGGACACUGCUCUUAUCGAUGCGCAAGAUCAGCUCAGACCAUAAAGCAUCGCUUGCAAGUUGCAUGGGAUAGUUGGACUUCAGUCGAGUCCUGAAUAGUUAAAAAAACCUAUUCCCUACCACAUGUGUUGUGCGCUAGACAUGCAGUUCUGAAGUUGGCUAGAGGGUUAGAGUGUCGGGCAUUGAUCUUAAGUUUUGAGUGUGAUCUGUGGUGAGAAUUAUGCAUUGAACUUCUUCGGUGCUGUGGAGUCGGUGAUGAUUGCUUUUGCAACCAUGGUGUAGUCAGGAUUAAUUUAGACCUCGCUUCCAUGUUUUUUUUUUCUUUUCUUUUGUAACCCUUGCAGAUUUGUGGCUUUUGUACGUCUCAAAUGGGCAGCUUGUAUUGUUGAGGGGUGCAAUCAGUGGUAAAGACUGAAUGUGAGGCACGUAAGAUUUGGAUGUCAGUCUCAUUUGCACCCUGUUUUUCUCUUGAGGUAAUCGAUUGACGCCUUAGUGGACGCUCUCACGGUCUCUCUCUUUCAUUCUUUCUUUCUUUCUCAGCUAGCAUGUCUAACAUUAUUUUCUCUAUAGUUGGUUGCGAUCGGUUACAAUCCUACACAAUUUUUUAGAGCAUUGUUAGUCCUGGUCUCAGAUCGUUCCAUCGACUCGCUUUGGAGAUUUUUUUCCAUCACGAUUCAGCACUAUCUCUCUCUCUCUCUCUCUCUCUCUCUCUCUCGCUCUCUCUCUUUCUCUCUGAUUCGCCAUAUCCAGUGUCGAUACCUUAAGCAUUGAUCCAAAUUCCUGCCCAAUCUGUUCCCUUGGUUUUGGUUCUUGUGUUUAUUGUGAUUCUUCCAUUCGGAGUUAGCAAUGUACGAGUAUGUCUUGCACGUAGGGUUGCCAAUGGAACUCCAGUACUCAAAAUCUUAUGAGGCUGACGCUGAAGUGGCAGGAUCCUAUGUGGAUUGGGGGAUUUUGAGCAAGGAGAUUAUGGAGCAAAUCUUCGCUCGAUUGCCCAUCAAGGAAGCUGUUCGGGCCAGUUGCGUUUGCAAGCACUGGCAAUCGAUCGUCUUCUCGCGCAGCUUCGUGACCUUCAUCUUGAAAUUCAAAAUUCCUAGGCGUUGAUCCAUUGCACAGGGGAUUAGGAGUAUUCGCGAUGGUGCAUCUGUGAUCAGGGGGUUCUCAUCCUGUACACUUGCCGUCGCGUGCACCCAACAGCGCAUGAUUUCUUGUAAUUAUGAGGACGUAGUCGGCCAUGUUGAAUGCAAUGAGAGGAGAGUAGCUUGUUCAAACCCCAAAUCCGCCAGUCAACUUGGCUCUAUUCUGGCACCUUUUUUCCUUGCGAUCUCAUCCAGAAGGGUUUGCGGGAAUCGUGUCACCGCAACAUGAAAACUCUUCCGACAAAUCUUAUACUGUAUUGCAACGCAAUCUCGCCAAGGGCUUUCCAGUACUCUUCCUGUGAGUCGCCCUGCACAAGCAAUCAAAGAUUACAACUGUGUAGCUUCACAAAUCAAGGUUCACAUGGGUUCUCGUCCAGAACUGUAAUGUAGCCUUACAAAUCAAUGCAAAGUUUGAUAAGUAAUAGACGUUACGAUCAAGUGCGAAAGCCAUACGCCGAAGCAAGUGUUGAAUCCCGAAGAGCAGACAUUGAACGCACACAAGUUCACAGCAUGUUGGUAGAGAACCAUGCACAAAUCUAUGCGGUUUUAUAUGCAAAGUUAGAACUAUUCUGAAAUGGGGAUAUCUUUCCACAUCAGAAAAUUGCAUUUUCGGAAGAACUUUGGUCUUCGAUUUUGGUGUGGAUUUGUAAAUAGUCAAUUUAGACCACUAUUGAAAUGAUGUAUCUCAUUUGCUGAUGCAUUUUUGGUAAAAUUUUAGUAAUUUGGAAUUCUCAAAA